AACGAACGCUGGCGGCAGGCCUAACACAUGCAAGUCGAGCGCCCGUAGCAAUACGGGAGCGGCAGACGGGUGAGUAACACGUGGGAACGUGCCCAAAGGUACGGAACAACUCCGGGAAACUGGAGCUAAUACCGUAUGUGCCCGAAAGGGGAAAGAUUUAUCGCCUUUGGAUCGGCCCGCGUCUGAUUAGCUAGUUGGUGAGGUAAUGGCUCACCAAGGCGACGAUCAGUAGCUGGCUGAGAGGAUGAUCAGCCACCACUGGGACUGAGACACGGCCCAGACUCCUACGGGAGGCAGCAGUGGGGAAUAUUGGACAAUGGGCGCAAGCCUGAUCCAGCCAUGCCGCGUGAGUGAUGAA
This 358-nucleotide ribosomal RNA is filed under the name uncultured bacterium. RNAcentral's name for it is "bacterial SSU rRNA". It matches the Rfam family "Bacterial small subunit ribosomal RNA", at positions 29 to 412 of the family's 1533-position model. The record is from RNAcentral.